UGGGCCCUGACUGUGCUUGUAUUGAAAGUCUGGUCACUGUGUGCUGAACUCUGUACCUGUACUGUUGUGAUAGUCUGACUGGUGUUGUCCUCUCCUGUACAUUGUUGUAAUACUGAACACUCCACCCUUAACUGUCACACAUACUGUCCAGUAUGCAGCCCUGUGUCCUCAUCUCCCACACCUGCUGCAGUAACACUCCAGCCUUUUCCUGCUCUCUCAGACCUUGACUUGUAGUUUUCGGACCUGUGUUGAACUGUACAUCUGUCCUCUGCAUUAAUCUUGACACACUGAGCUUUUACCUGUGUUGUGGCAGCACAGUGAUUGACUGGUGUAUCAGAUUUAUCAUAAUUUCCAGAUUACGGCUGGGGUCUGGUGUAAAGACUAAGUUCACCCCUGGGGCUCUCUGUACUCCAGCACAGAGCUAUGCCUGUUAUUUGCACAACUUGCAGGGGUCCUGGUGUCAUCUUGAUCAUGAAAAGCAACCUGACUGGAGAACAACCGUGUCAAGAGCAGAGCUGGUGGAGCUGUGAAUCAAGUCACUAGGGUGAGGUGGUGAAUAUUAACUCAGAGGCUGGCCACACCACAUCUCAUGAUUCUCACAGUCAGAGGGACAGUGUUCUCGCCUGUCACUGUACCCAAACCCCCACGCUGCUGGCUCAGCCAGAAAGGAAAGGGGCACCCUUAUUAAAGUCACAGCUUCUGUUUGAAAUCACUGCACCAAGAGGCGUCUGGCUCAGAGAUGGAGGGAGGUGAGAGGCACUUACAGCCUUUAGCCAGCAGAGGGCAGGGUGUCUCUAAGCAUCUACCUCCUCCCCCACCUUGAUUCUCCAGCAGAGUGAUCCCCUCCAGGCUGCACUACAUUUCCCAGCAGGCCAUGAGGGAAUGGUGGCCAACAGGCUGCCUCCCCUGGGUUACCGAUGCAGCUGUUAAUUCUAGUCUGUAGCCAGUGUGUAUAAUGAGGGGGGUGGAGUAGAGCUUAUGCAGAGGGCUGGGAGAACUGCAUCACCCACAAGGACCUGCUCCAUUCAGUCACCUGACCCCUGGGACAGAGAUGAUUGGUCAGAAGACAUUUGAAAAGCAGGCAGUGACAGAGGGCAGUAGUGCUGUUGGAGGAGUAGAGAUAGAGAAGAGCUCUUGCCUCCAACACAGAAACUGAUCUGGGACAGUUUGCAGGUCUGUUUCUGAGUGGUCCUGUUGUUCAGGUCGCUGCAGGGGAGGGGGGCUGGUGACCCCCUGCUGGGAUUCAUAUUGGGAGAAUGAGGGGACAAGUAACAGCUGAUCCUAAUGACUGCUCUCACCUCCUGGCCAGGGGAGUCUCUCACACAGAAGCUAAACCCAGUAGUUUUUCAUCUUUUUCAGCUUAGAGGGGGACGAGAGAUCUGUCCUGACCCAGUGUGCAGUUCACAGUCCCCAUCCUCCUCCUACUGCAGCUGAGGCACAGCUGGACAGCUCUCAGGACAGACACUCACAGCCACAAGCUAGACGAGCAGUCGGCUUCCCCAGGCCUCUGUGAAGACAAGUCAGACUCCCAGCUCCCUGGCUCAGCAGUCAGACCUCCUCCCCCGACAGCUCAGCUCUGCAGCUCUUCCCUCCUGCUCUGCUCAGCACAACUGCUCUCUGUCCCCAGCAGCACCAGACUGAAGGCCUCCCCUCCUGCCUUUUAACUGUCUCCCCACCAAUCGUCUUCCACCAAUUAGGCAGGUGAUUAUAGGCUGCAGGUUGUUCUCCUGGGCCUCGUUGGGGAUAAUCCCAUAUAAAAACCAGACUGUUAAACGAGGGCUGGAGCUUGUUUUGGGUCUCUGGAUUAAUCUUGCUGGAUGUCCUACAGGCUCCUCUGUGUUGGGGCUCAGUUGUUCCUAAAAAAUCAAUAAAAAUAAAAGUGUAAUUAUGUGAA
Non-coding RNA from Lepisosteus oculatus (spotted gar), 1894 nucleotides. The record is from RefSeq and is a predicted model, not a curated record. Lineage: Eukaryota; Metazoa; Chordata; Actinopteri; Semionotiformes; Lepisosteidae.